Molecule: ribosomal RNA, 484 nt
Filed under: uncultured bacterium
Lineage: Bacteria
Description: partial 16S ribosomal RNA
Rfam family: Bacterial small subunit ribosomal RNA
Source: RNAcentral
AUUGAACGCUGGCGGCAGGCCUAACACAUGCAAGUCGAGCGGAUGAAGGGAGCUUGCUCCUGGAUUCAGCGGCGGACGGGUGAGUAAUGCCUAGGAAUCUGCCUGGUAGUGGGGGAUAACGUCCGGAAACGGGCGCUAAUACCGCAUACGUCCUGAGGGAGAAAGUGGGGGAUCUUCGGACCUCACGCUAUCAGAUGAGCCUAGGUCGGAUUAGCUAGUUGGUGGGGUAAAGGCCUACCAAGGCGACGAUCCGUAACUGGUCUGAGAGGAUGAUCAGUCACACUGGAAAGGAAACCGGUCCCAGCCUCCUAGGGGGGGGAGAAGGGGGAAAUGUUGGAAAAGGGGGAAAAGCCUGACCCCACCAGCCGGGGGGUGAGAAGAAGGUCUUCGAAUUGUAAACCAUUUUAGGUGGGGAGAAAGGGAAGUAAUUUAAUACCUUGUUUUUUUGACUUGACCAAAAAAAAAAGCCCCGGCAAACUUGGUG